RNAcentral lists this long non-coding RNA (496 nucleotides) under Mizuhopecten yessoensis (Yesso scallop). Its description in RNAcentral is "uncharacterized LOC110445518". Lineage: Eukaryota; Metazoa; Mollusca; Bivalvia; Pectinida; Pectinidae. The record is from RNAcentral.
AAAAUGAUUGAGGAAAUACAAUGAAUAACAAUUACAAUAUAUUUCCUCGUCAUAUUGUGUAUAAAAGAGGUCAUACCUUAUUCUCCAAUACAACCUGCCCUGACACAGACUGAACCAGUGUGAACGAAAGCGUUGGCCCAGAAUCAAUCAACUGAAGAUGUUGAAGCUUAUCGUACUGUCCUGUCUAGUGGCCUGUGUCUUAUGUCAAACCUACGGAGGAAGUCGUGGUUCCUUGUUUGAAAAUAGAAGAAGAAAUAGCUGGGACUUGGAAAACGAUCGUUGGAACAGGGAUAGCUUUGGAAGAGAUUGGAACCGACGUGGAAGCGACAGGGGGGGAGACUGGAGGGGAGACAGGUUGGGAGACAGGUGGGGAGACCGGAGGGGAGACAUGUUGGGAGGCAGAAGGUCUCGUGUUAGAAUAGCACACAGACGGAGACAGAUCAGGCAAUAUUGAUGUAGAGACAAACAAUUAUGGAAAAAGAUCCAUGUGGCCGAA